CUAAAGCUCAUCCUCACCUCACGCCGCUGUCUCUUUCUCAUUUACUCUCACUCAUUGUCUUUCUCUCUCCUCUCUCUUUUCUCUCAUUUACGCCAUUUUCAAUUUUUCUCCAUUGAAAUUGCUGAUUCAAGCUUGUGAAUCUUCAUCUCAUCAUUCUCAAGCAUUUCUUCAGUUCAUUGCGAUUUGUUUUCGCCGAUACACUAAGUCCACCGAAGAGUGCACAAAGCCCACCGAAGAGUGCACCUCAAAGUUUAGCAGCAGCCAUGGGCAGUCAGAUCUAAUUUUUAGUUUAUUUCUUCAAAAUUAGUUGCUGUUGGAAAGCUUAGGAAGUAUUUUGGACAUGUUAUUUGAGUUUCCUAGAUUAAACCUUUAUUUUCCACCUAUUGGAAGUAUUUUGGACGUGUUUUCCUACUUUAAAUUGUUGUAUGAACUAUGCAGCAGCACUACAAAUAUGUUUGCUUUAAAUUUGCAUUUUAUGUUA
Molecule: long non-coding RNA, 481 nt
Organism: Chenopodium quinoa (quinoa)
Lineage: Eukaryota; Viridiplantae; Streptophyta; Magnoliopsida; Caryophyllales; Amaranthaceae
Exons: 2
Source: RefSeq, a predicted model, not a curated record